RNAcentral lists this ribosomal RNA (424 nucleotides) under uncultured Glomeromycotina. Its description in RNAcentral is "SSU rRNA". It matches the Rfam family "Eukaryotic small subunit ribosomal RNA", at positions 667 to 1092 of the family's 1831-position model. Lineage: Eukaryota; Fungi; Glomeromycota. The record is from RNAcentral.
CAUGGUAUGCACUGGCUCGCUGACUCCUCCUUCUUGUAGAACCGUAAUGCCAUUAAUUUGGUGUUGCGGGGAAACAGGACUGUUACUUUGAAAAAAUUAGAGUGUUUAAAGCAGGCCAACGCCUGAAUACAUUAGCAUGGAAUAAUGAAAUAGGACGUUCGAACCUAUUUUGUUGGUUUCUAGGAUUGACGUAAUGAUUAAUAGGGAUAGUUGGGGGCAUUAGUAUUCAAUUGUCAGAGGUGAAAUUCUUGGAUUUAUUGAAGACUGACUACCGCGAAAGCAUUUGCCAAGGAUGUUUUCAUUAAUCAAGAACGAAAGUUAGGGGAUCGAAGACGAUCAGAUACCGUCGUAGUCUUAACCAUAAACUAUGCCGACUAGGGGUCGGAUGAUGUUAAUUUUUUAAUGGCUCAUUCGGCGCCUUACG